RNAcentral lists this ribosomal RNA (253 nucleotides) under uncultured bacterium. Its description in RNAcentral is "partial 16S ribosomal RNA". It matches the Rfam family "Bacterial small subunit ribosomal RNA", at positions 524 to 776 of the family's 1533-position model. The record is from RNAcentral.
UACGUAGGGUGCGAGCGUUGUCCGGAAUUAUUGGGCGUAAAGAGCUCGUAGGCGGUUUGUCACGUCUGCUGUGAAAUCCCGAGGCUCAACCUCGGGCCUGCAGUGGGUACGGGCAGACUGGAGUGCGGUAGGGGAGAAUGGAAUUCCUGGUGUAGCGGUGAAAUGCGCAGAUAUCAGGAGGAACACCGGUGGCGAAGGCGGAUCUCUGGGCCAUUACUGACGCUGAGGAGCGAAAGCGUGGGGAGCAAACAGG